GGGAGCGUCGGUUAAAGGUAAACCACCGGUCUCCAAAACCGGAACUGGGGGUUCAAUUCCUCCCGCUCCCG
Molecule: transfer RNA, 71 nt
Filed under: Candidatus Margulisiibacteriota bacterium
Lineage: Bacteria; Bacillati; Candidatus Margulisiibacteriota
Description: tRNA-Trp
Rfam family: tRNA
About the family: Transfer RNA (tRNA) molecules are approximately 80 nucleotides in length.
Source: RNAcentral